UGGUUGAUCCUGCCAGAGGUCACUGCUAUCGGGGUUCGAUUAAGCCAUGCGAGUCGAGAGGGUUCGGCCCUCGGCGUACUGCUCAGUAACACGUGGAUAACCUGCCCUAGGGAAGGGGAUAACCCCGGGAAACUGGGGAUAAUACCCUAUAGAUUACAGAUGCUGGAAUGCCCUGUAAUCCAAAGUUCCGACGCCCUAGGAUGGAUCUGCGGCCGAUUAGGUUGUUGUUGGGGUAAUGGCCCAACAAGCCCGUAAUCGGUACGGGUUGUGGGAGCAAGAGCCCGGAGUUGGAUUCUGAGACACGAAUCCAGGCCCUACGGGGCGCAGCAGGCGCGAAAACUUUACAAUGCGGGCAACCGUGAUAAGGGAACCUCGAGUGCCUGUAAAUGCAGGCUGUUCAGGUGCCUAAAACACACCUGAAGAAAGGGCCGGGCAAGACCGGUGCCAGCCGCCGCGGUAAUACCGGCGGCUCGAGUGGUGGCCGCUUUUAUUGGGCUUAAAGCGUUCGUAGCUGGGUUGUUAAGUCUCUUGGGAAAUCUGGCGGCUUAACCGUCAGGCGUCUAAGGGAUACUGGCAAUCUUGGAACCGGGAGAGGUGAGGGGUACUUCGGGGGUAGGAGUGAAAUCCUGUAAUCCUCGAGGGACCACCUGUGGCGAAGGCGCCUCACCAGAACGGCUUCGACAGUGAGGGACGAAAGCUGGGGGAGCAAACCGGAUUAGAUACCCGGGUAGUCCCAGCCGUAAACUAUGCGCGUUAGGUGUAUCGGUGACCACGAGUUACCGAGGUGCCGAAGGGAAACCGUGAAACGUGCCGCCUGGGAAGUACGGUCGCAAGGCUGAAACUUAAAGGAAUUGGCGGGGGAGCACCACAACAGGUGGAGCCUGCGGUUUAAUUGGACUCAACGCCGGGAAGCUCACCGGAUAAGACAGCAGAAUGAUUGCCGGGCUGAAGACUCUGCAUGACUAGCUGAGAGGAGGUGCAUGGCCGUCGUCAGUUCGUACUGUGAAGCAUCCUGUUAAGUCAG
RNAcentral lists this ribosomal RNA (1024 nucleotides) under uncultured euryarchaeote. RNAcentral describes it as "bacterial SSU rRNA". It matches the Rfam family "Archaeal small subunit ribosomal RNA", at positions 5 to 1037 of the family's 1478-position model. Lineage: Archaea; Methanobacteriati; Methanobacteriota. The record is from RNAcentral.